This 894-nucleotide ribosomal RNA is filed under the name Triticum aestivum (bread wheat). RNAcentral's name for it is "partial small subunit ribosomal RNA". Lineage: Eukaryota; Viridiplantae; Streptophyta; Magnoliopsida; Poales; Poaceae. The record is from RNAcentral.
AUGGUCGAAGGCUCGGAUACGGACAUCGCUAGCCUUAAAUUCCUCCUCCUCUGCUUCCAACAAAUGUCUGGUCUGAAGAUCAACUUCGACAAGAGCGAUGUGAUGGCGAUGGGCUAUUCUCCGGCUGAGGCCCUUGACAUUGCCAACCGCCUCAAUUGCCGCAUGGGCUCCUUCCCAACGACCUACCUAGGAACGCCCAUUAGUGACUCUUGGCUUACUGUGGUGGACCUUCGGCCUGCGGUGACCAAGUUGCAAACGCGCAUUGAGCCUUGGCAAGGUCGGUGGCUCUCGAAGGCGGCACGGACGAUUCUCAUCAACUCCUCGCUCUCUAGUAUCCUCCUAUUCCUUAUGAGCUUCUACAGCCUCCACGAGACCCUCCAUCAUGAGAUCGCCAAAAUCCAGUCGCGCUUCUAUUGGGCUGGGGACAAUAACAAACAGAAGUAUCAUAUGGUUAGUUGGCCCGACAUCUGCAAACCCCGGGAGCAGGGAGGCCUUGGCAUCAUGUGCUCGAAGCGCAUGAACAUUGCUCUCCUCUCCCGUUGGCUCUAGCACAUCUCACAAGGGCAUGGAGGUCUGUGGUUAGACAUCAUCCGGAAUAAAUACCUGCGUGGCCAGCCUCUGGCCUUCUGCCAACGUUCGGGUGGAUCCCAGUUCUGGCAAUCGGUCAUCCAACUGCUCCCCGUCCUCCGCAUUGGGACCUCCAUCUCGGUCGGCUCGGGCGCAACGACCUUGUUCUGGUUUGACCGAUUGGCGGGUGACGCUCCUUUCACAGCCCGCUUCCCUGACCUCUUCUCCAGCGCCGUCGUCCCUACAAUCUCAGUUCAACAGGCCCUUAUUGACUUAGGGCGCCUCGUGUUCCAGAGGCCAUUUGGGCCUCCGGAAGUGGCCGCCUAG